AAAUUGAAGAGUUUGAUCAUGGCUCAGAUUGAAUGCUGGCGGCAGGCCUAACACAUGCAAGUCGAACGGUAACAGGAAACAGCUUGCUGUUUCGCUGACGAGUGGCGGACGGGUGAGUAAUGUCUGGGAAACUGCCUGAUGGAGGGGGAUAACUACUGGAAACGGUAGCUAAUACCGCAUAACGUCGCAAGACCAAAGAGGGGGACCUUCGGGCCUCUUGCCAUCGGAUGUGCCCAGAUGGGAUUAGCUAGUAGGUGGGGUAACGGCUCACCUAGGCGACGAUCCCUAGCUGGUCUGAGAGGAUGACCAGCCACACUGGAACUGAGACACGGUCCAGACUCCUACGGGAGGCAGCAGUGGGGAAUAUUGCACAAUGGGCG
RNAcentral lists this ribosomal RNA (380 nucleotides) under Escherichia coli. RNAcentral's name for it is "bacterial SSU rRNA". It matches the Rfam family "Bacterial small subunit ribosomal RNA", at positions 1 to 377 of the family's 1533-position model. Lineage: Bacteria; Pseudomonadati; Pseudomonadota; Gammaproteobacteria; Enterobacterales; Enterobacteriaceae. The record is from RNAcentral.